GUCUGUUUGAAGGUAUAAAAAGUUUAACCUGCCCACUGAUAAAUUUUUUAAAGGGCCGCGGUAUUCUGACUGUGCAAAGGUAGCAUAAUCGUUAGUUUUUUAAUUGGAAUCUUGUAUGAAUGGUUUGACAAAAGAAAAUCUGUCUUUAUAAUUAUUUAUUGAAUUUAACUUUUAAGUGAAAAGGCUUAAAUAAAUUAAAAAGACGAUAAGACCCUAUAAAGCUUAAUAUUAAAUUUUUAUUUAAUUAAAUUUUAAAUUAUAAUAAAGAUUUGGUAAAUAAAUUUUAUUUUGUUGGGGUGAUAAUGGUAAAAUGAUUAUUAACUGUUAAUUUUUUUAGACAAAAAUAAAUGAAUAAAUAAUUUGUUGUAAAGGAUCCUGUAUUAAAGAUUAAAAGUUUAAGUUACUUUAGGGAUAACAGCGUUAUUUUUUUUGAGAGUUCUUAUCGAGAAAAAAGUUUGCGACCUCGAUGUUGAAUUAAAAUAUCUAUAUAAUUGUAGCAGUUAUAUAAGAAGGUCUGUUCGACCUUUAAAAUUUUACAUGAUUUGAGUUCAGACCGGCGUAAGCCAGGUCGGUUUCUAUCUUUUAAUAUUUAAAAAAUUAUUUUAGUACGAAAGGAUUAGAUAAUUAAAAUUAUUUUUAAUAAUUGAAUGAAAAG
RNAcentral lists this ribosomal RNA (655 nucleotides) under Orisarma dehaani. RNAcentral describes it as "Chiromantes dehaani partial large subunit ribosomal RNA". The stretch from base 411 to 570 matches the Rfam family "Bacterial large subunit ribosomal RNA", at positions 2473 to 2632 of the family's 2925-position model. The record is from RNAcentral. Lineage: Eukaryota; Metazoa; Arthropoda; Malacostraca; Decapoda; Sesarmidae.